ACCCAGCACCUCAAGUGGUCAGGAGGAUUAUUGGGCCUAAAGCAUCCGUAGCCGGCUCUGUAAGUUUUCGGUUAAAUCCAUGUGCUCAACACAUGGGCUGCCGAAAAUACUGCAUAGCUAGGGAGUGGGAGAGGUAGACGGUACUCGGUAGGAAGGGGUAAAAUCCUUUGAUCUAUCGAUGACCACCUGUGGCGAAGGCGGCUACCUGGUCCGAUUUUGACGCUGAGGCGCGAAAGCGUGGGGAGCAAACAGG
This 253-nucleotide ribosomal RNA is filed under the name uncultured archaeon. Its description in RNAcentral is "partial 16S ribosomal RNA". It matches the Rfam family "Archaeal small subunit ribosomal RNA", at positions 474 to 727 of the family's 1478-position model. The record is from RNAcentral.